UACGGGGGGAGCAAGCGUUGUUCGGAUUUACUGGGCGUAAAGGGCGCGUAGGCGGUCGUGACAAGUCACUUGUGAAAUCUCCGGGCUUAACUCGGAACGGUCAAGUGAUACUGUCGGACUAGAGUACAGAAGGGGCAACUGGAAUUCCUGGUGUAGCGGUGAAAUGCGCAGAUAUCAGGAGGAACACCGGUGGCGAAGGCGGGUCUCUGGGCAAUAACUGACGCUGAGGAGCGAAAGCGUGGGGAGCGAACAGG
Molecule: ribosomal RNA, 254 nt
Filed under: uncultured bacterium
Lineage: Bacteria
Description: partial 16S ribosomal RNA
Rfam family: Bacterial small subunit ribosomal RNA
Source: RNAcentral